CCACACGACUCUCGGCAACGGAUAUCUCGGCUCUCGCAUCGAUGAAGAACGUAGCAAAAUGCGAUACCUGGUGUGAAUUGCAGAAUCCCGCGAACCAUCGAGUUUUUGAACGCAAGUUGCGCCCGAGGCCUUCUGGUUGAGGGCACGCCUGCCUGGGCGUCACGC
Molecule: ribosomal RNA, 165 nt
Filed under: Setaria viridis
Lineage: Eukaryota; Viridiplantae; Streptophyta; Magnoliopsida; Poales; Poaceae
Also listed under: 2 other names
Description: 5.8S ribosomal RNA
Rfam family: 5.8S ribosomal RNA
About the family: 5.8S ribosomal RNA (5.8S rRNA) is a component of the large subunit of the eukaryotic ribosome. It is transcribed by RNA polymerase I as part of the 45S precursor that also contains 18S and 28S rRNA.
Source: RNAcentral